RNAcentral lists this long non-coding RNA (1182 nucleotides) under Anas platyrhynchos platyrhynchos (common mallard). RNAcentral's name for it is "lncRNA (ENSAPLG00000016483.1)". The record is from RNAcentral. Lineage: Eukaryota; Metazoa; Chordata; Aves; Anseriformes; Anatidae.
UGCACACCCGAGCAGAACCGAUUUUCCUGCUUCCAGAUUUGUCAGGGCCGGGCUGUCUCAACUCUCAAUGUCCCUCCUGCCCUACAGUUCGUGAGCACCCCCCCCCAGCUGCCCUCCUCUGCUGUAACCUCCCUGUGUGCCAGCAGGGACCCAUCCCAAAGGGCUCCUGAGCCUCGCCGUGCUCUCCACACAAUUUUUGUGAAAGCAAAGCGCAGAUGCCCAACUGGAACCCUGCUCAGAGCCGGCUGUUUGCCCCCGCGUGGAGUCUCAGCUCCCUCCUCCCCGCAGCAGGGCUGCCUCCAGCCGUCUCCCGGUGACUCAGUGGCUGCGGUUUGGGAGCUGAGCGGUGACACACUCAUAGUGCUCAGCCUCAAUGUGCUUCACGGAGCAAAUCCCCGCUCUCAGGGCUCUGCUGCCACUGGGACAGCACAGGAAAGCCCCAAGUGGGACGGGUUUCUGGGAACACUGACUGGCUCCAGCUCGCUCUGUGGCUUCGCUUCUCCUUCCCUGCCUGUUGCCUCCUCUUCCUGCUGGUCCCGAGGAAACAGGGAGCGAAGGGGGGGAAAUCUCCUCAGUCCUGAAAUUCUUUCACACCUUCAGCAAAUGCAUUUGUACCGGGGGUCCGGCUGGCAGAGGGCCCUCCUGGCUCUCCUUAGCACCCCUGGGAGCACACCGGGCAUUUCCCUGUGCCACCUGGGCCACGCAGUGCCUGGGCUUUGGCUCAGGCAGGAAGCCUUUACGCAUUUGGGGAGGGGGAGGUCGAUUCUGCAUGUGCUUUGGGUUGAAAAUAGGGUACUACAGCGCUGCCUCUGUGCCGAGCCAUUCGCCUUCCCCUCCCUCCCCACCUUCCCUUCCCCACCCGGCCCCCCCACCCCACAGCCAGGUCUCCUUAGCCUCGAUCUACCCCUAGCGGCCGCCGGCGGCCACGGAGCGGCUCCUGGGGCUCGUCCCUCUGUGUGCAGGCUGCUGGAAGCCCUCCGCCUGCCUGCCCAAACCUCUGAGCUUCUGCAGGCUCCCAGAGCCACCGCGGAGCCCUGGAGCAGCACCCCCGGGCAGCCCCCGAUGGCUGCCAGGUUUCGCAGCAGAGCUGUGAGGCUCUCCGAGAUGCUCGGCUGGAGGUGUGCACGGCACCCUGCUCUCCAAAGCAGGAGCUGGCAGACCCACCUGGUCCUCACAACAUGA